Molecule: transfer RNA, 76 nt
Filed under: Vibrio harveyi 1DA3
Lineage: Bacteria; Pseudomonadati; Pseudomonadota; Gammaproteobacteria; Vibrionales; Vibrionaceae
Description: tRNA-Arg
Rfam family: tRNA
About the family: Transfer RNA (tRNA) molecules are approximately 80 nucleotides in length.
Source: RNAcentral
UCGCUGUUAGCUCAAUGGAUAGAGCAACGGAUUUCUAAUCCGUAGGUUAUCAGUUCGAAUCUGAUACGGCGAACCA